CUACGUGCCAGCAGCCGCGGUAAUACGUAGGUCCCGAGCGUUGUCCGGAUUUAUUGGGCGUAAAGCGAGCGCAGGCGGUUAGAUAAGUCUGAAGUUAAAGGCUGUGGCUUAACCAUAGUACGCUUUGGAAACUGUUUAACUUGAGUGCAGAAGGGGAGAGUGGAAUUCCAUGUGUAGCGGUGAAAUGCGUAGAUAUAUGGAGGAACACCGGUGGCGAAAGCGGCUCUCUGGUCUGUAACUGACGCUGAGGCUCGAAAGCGUGGGGAGCGAACAGGAUUAGAUACCCUGGUAGUCCACGCCGUAAACGAUGAGUGCUAGGUGUUAGGCCCUUUCCGGGGCUUAGUGCCGCAGCUAACGCAUUAAGCACUCCGCCUGGGGAGUACGACCGCAAGGUUGAAACUCAAAGGAAUUGACGGGGGCCCGCACAAGCGGUGGAGCAUGUGGUUUAAUUCGAAGCAACGCGAAGAACCUUACCAGGUCUUGACAUCCCGAUGCCCGCUCUAGAGAUAGAGUUUUAUU
RNAcentral lists this ribosomal RNA (519 nucleotides) under uncultured bacterium. RNAcentral describes it as "bacterial SSU rRNA". It matches the Rfam family "Bacterial small subunit ribosomal RNA", at positions 501 to 1018 of the family's 1533-position model. The record is from RNAcentral.